Molecule: ribosomal RNA, 563 nt
Filed under: Salmonella enterica subsp. enterica serovar Typhimurium
Lineage: Bacteria; Pseudomonadati; Pseudomonadota; Gammaproteobacteria; Enterobacterales; Enterobacteriaceae
Description: partial 23S ribosomal RNA
Rfam family: Bacterial large subunit ribosomal RNA
Source: RNAcentral
GCGCCGGUAAGGUGAUAUGAACCGUUAUAACCGGCGAUACCCGAAUGGGGAAACCCAGUGUGAUUCGUCACACUAUCAUUAACUGAAUCCAUAGGUUAAUGAGGCGAACCGGGGGAACUGAAACAUCUAAGUACCCCGAGGAAAAGAAAUCAACCGAGAUUCCCCCAGUAGCGGCGAGCGAACGGGGAGGAGCCCAGAGCCUGAAUCAGCAUGUGUGUUAGUGGAAGCGUCUGGAAAGGCGCGCGAUACAGGGUGACAGCCCCGUACACAAAAGCGCAUGUGCUGUGAGCUCGAUGAGUAGGGCGGGACACGUGGUAUCCUGUCUGAAUAUGGGGGGACCAUCCUCCAAGGCUAAAUACUCCUGACUGACCGAUAGUGAACCAGUACCGUGAGGGAAAGGCGAAAAGAACCCCGGCGAGGGGAGUGAAAAAGAACCUGAAACCGUGUACGUACAAGCAGUGGGAGCACAGGUUUACCUGUGUGACUGCGUACCUUUUGUAUAAUGGGUCAGCGACUUAUAUUCUGUAGCAAGGUUAACCGUAUAGGGGAGCCGGAGGGAAACC